This is a non-coding RNA of Equus caballus (horse), 957 nucleotides long. Lineage: Eukaryota; Metazoa; Chordata; Mammalia; Perissodactyla; Equidae. The record is from RefSeq and is a predicted model, not a curated record.
GCUGAGAGACAGAGCCCCGCCCCCACCUGGCCGGUCUCGGGUCUGCAGCUCCUUCGGGGGACGUCGCUCAUCCCCGAGCGCCGGAGCUAAGGGUCAAGUCAUGGGGGACUCAGCAAAGUUUUCUGAUAAGAACAUGGCCCUUUUAGCACUGGGCUGUGAGCUUGAAGUGCUGGAGCUGAUCGAACACUUCACUACAGCCUAUGAGGAUGGAUUCCUGGAUUAAAUGAGAAGUUGGACUAAUAAUCUUUAACAUCUGUAGCGACUCUUAAACAUGAUUCCAAGCCUUUACUGACCAACAAGGUGGGAAACUAGUCAUCUUUGCGCUCAUACUGCUGCCCCAAAGACUCAGCGUCCGCAGAAAUUCCAUUGUCCUUAAGUUCCAGUCCAAGCCCUGCCGUUUCCAAGGCCUGUUUCACCCCGUUCAUGCGUCUCCUGUGUCCUUGUACUGAUGUGUGUGUGUGUAUCUUAACCAACCCUCUACCAGAGGGCAAACUCCUUGAGAACAGGCACUGUUUUAACUGAUCUCUGCUCCUUAGGAGCACUUUAUACAUAAAAUGUCCUCAAUAAACACAUGUACAACUGAAUUGAAUAGUUAAGAAAGGGUGAGACCAGCCAGAGCUAAAUUAGAGAAAAUAGUUUGCUCCUGCUUUCUUCCCAUUCCUUUUUUUAAAUUUAUUUUUAAUUGUGGUAAAAUAUACAUACAAUAAAAUUGACCAUCUUAACCAUUUUUAAGUGUACUGUCCAGUAGUGUUAAAUAUAUUCAUAUAUGCACCUAAUGUCAGAACUUUUCAUACCCACUAAGCAACCACCAUUCUUCCUUCCCCUAGCACCUGGCAACCACCAUUCUACUUUCUGUUUCUGUAAGCCUGACUAUUCUAGAUUCCUGGUAUAAGUGGAAUCAUACGGCAUUUGUCUUUUUGUGGCCGGCUUAGUUCACUUAGCAUAAUGUCCUCAAGG